UUUGAGAGUUUGUUAGUGGUAUACCGUGAUCAAGACCUCAAGAUGUUUAAGUAUAUAUUUAGUCAAUGAAUUACUUAGGUUUCCUUAUAGAGACAAUGGUCCUUAUAUCUACCUUAGUUUAGCAUCUUUCCAUCCCACACUAACUUGGUAACUACCUUUCCAAUACCGAAUCUCCGACAGGAUAUCGUUUGUGAUCUCCUUAUUUUCCACGAGAUUAGUCUUAACUACAUCUUAUUGGAUUUUACCUAGCAAAUAUUGGGUUUAAGAUCUAUAACCGGCCCUCGGGACUUAAGUGAAUGGGCUUUCACAUUCUCAGCCUAGGUUUAAAAAUCCUAUAACAUACUGUAUUAAGUUUUUUUUUUUUUUGUUAAAACAAAAAUUUACAAAGAUAAAAAUUAGAUCGAGUGAAAAACACCCGUCUACAGUCAUCAUAAAGGAGAAAUAAUAAACUAGGAGGGGGAGUUAGUAGCCCGACAAAAGUAAAAUCUCCACUAAGAUUAAGGUUUGUCAACUUAUCUCCGCAUCAAUUCGCCUCAUGAUAGAUAUAGUUAACCACAACUUUAUUCCUCACAACACACAAUAGAGAUGUCAUUUUGAAGAAGAGGUGUAAGAUAAAGAUUACAAAUUUUCCUGAACCAAAUCAUGUUGACCACAAUAAAAGAGUCCAUUUACACCAAAAUAGUAGUCAAACCCAAAUUACAAGUCAUUUUGAGACCAUGAACCAGCCCCCAAAGCUCAGCUAACACAGAGGUAGCUCGACCAAGAUUACAAAAAAACCUACAAAUAUCAAUUCCUCUAUGAUCUCUAAUAAGUCCUCCAUAAGCAGUCAUACAUGUUGUGUCGUGAUAAGAACCAUCAAUAUUUAACUUGAAAGAAUUAAUAUAAGGAGAGUACCAUUUAACAUUAAUCUUUAUCCAACCUCCAUAAAGGAAGGAGGACUAAGAUAAAAAUGCUGAUGAAUGGAGAAAAUUUGUCUAUUCAAAGAUUGCAAAAAUUGCUUAGGAUCAAGUGAUGUUCUUGAGAAAACUAUUUGAUUCCUAUUCAUCCACAACUUAUUUACCAUGAUACCAAACAUAGGAUACCAAUGGCCUCUAAUCAAGCCAACAUCAGUUAAUGUAACAUUAAAUCCGAUCAUGGAGAAAGUUUAAGAUUAAAAAAGGGUUUGUGCCACAUCACAAUCUCUUAGAACAUGCAUAACGAUUUCUAGAGCUUGGGUGCAUCGAAUGCAAACAUAAUUAUCUUACAUACCUUAACGUUUUCUUUCAACUUUAGUUAGAAGUUUUGUGUGUCAAAUAUUCCAAAUAAAAGUAAGAACUUUGAUAGGGCCAUUCUAUUUCCACACCAUAUAGAAAUUAGAAGACUCAAUAGAAGUAGAGUCAUAUGCUGAUAGAGCUUGGUAUGCAAAUUUAAUAGUGAAAAAACAUCAUUAUAAAAUUUCUAUAUUGGAAAAUCAUUCUGACCUGCAAAAGGAGGCUUAAGGCUUACAAUUUUUGUGCAUAUGUUAUUAGGAAGAGGUUGAUUGAUCAUAGACUAGUUCCAACCAUUCUCACCACCAUAAUCACUAACAUGAAACUUCACAUCAUAUGGAGGAAUAACUAUAGCAUGAUUACAUAGUUUACCAACUCUAGAAACUCAACCAUCUAGCCAAAAUCUAAUAGAUUAACCAUUUCUAAUAAUUCAAGAAAUUCCAUUUUCCACUUUAGAUCAAUAUUUGGUAAUUCAUCUUCAAAUAUGAGAAAUUUUAGACUCAGCACUAAGUGUGUGGCAUAAUUAAAUUGCUGACCUUAUAGGUAGAUGUGGGAUUCAUAAAGACCUAAUUUGCAAAAGCAAAGAAUGAAAUGCGUAGCAAAUCCCAUUUAUUUUUGAAGAAGAUAUGAUGAAAGUCAUGAGGUUUAGGAGUUAUCCAUAGAAAACAAUGCAUUAUAACUUCAUCAGAAGAAAACUCACAUGCCGCAUACAAAAUAUCUUCAAUAGAACUUCUAUAAUGUCAUGGUUAUCAUAAAUUCAUUUAGCUCUAGAUUUUCUAAACCAGUAAGUUUCUUCCUCUAAGAGUAUAUAAGUAUAAUUUUUCAACAUAUUGUAAUAGAGCGUACUAAUCUUCUCCUCCCAUGUGAUAAGAAUAAUUUAGUAAUAGAACUUUCUGGAAAUGAAGUUUGCCAAGAGAGGUUACCCAUAGUUCUAUCUAACUUUUCUCUAAGAUCCUUGUGCAACUUAGUGAGUUUCGAUCCCUUAACACCCAAAUCAAUUAGAUUACAUUAGUUUAUGCAAUGGAGUAAUUUUGAAGCUCAAAUUGUGUUGAUAAGACCUCCUCCAAUUUUUUAAUGAUAAAAAAGAACUAUAUUCAAAACACAAGCUAAACACCAAGGAACAUUAGAAAGCGAAUGCAUAUCACAAAUCUCUUUCCGUAAAUCAUACACGAUAGAAAAAAACCAAAGAGAUUCAGACCGAAGAAAAACUUUUAACAAACACAUUGAGUAGAAGUAGAGAUCACAUCAAUAGUGAUGACAUUCAUCUUUCAAAGAUACCAAAUACCUUCAAAAAAAACAUGUGCCUCAACCCUAACCAUACCAACAAAGCCAAGUUACUCGAUCACAAAUAUUUGUAUAUUUUUAAUAUACAAAUAUGUGGCCCGUAUGUUUUAUUUAUCAAUAAUAAAGAUUUGUCCUUUUUUAUUUAUUUAUGAGUGAUAAAUAUUUAUUUUAAAAUUUUUUAUAUUUAUCAAUGAAAAAUAUCUGUCCUAUAUUUUUUUUAUGUAACAAUAACAUAUAUUUGUCUGUUUCUUUUAUAUAUUUAACAGUGAUAAAUAUUUGUUCUAUUUUUUUUUUUUAAAUUUACUAGUGACAAAUAUGUUACUCAUAUUUUUUAUGUAUCAAUUAUAAAUAUUUGUCUCAUGUUUUUUAUAAGUGAUUAAUAUUUAUUGCGUGAUUUUUAUAUUUAUCAGUGACAAAUAUUUAUUAUUUUUUUAUAUUAAUCAUUCACCGAUAUUUUUUUUUGAUUUUUUCCGAUAAAAAAUUUUCGAUAAAAAUUUUUUGAUUUUUUUUUAUAUAAAUGAUUUAUCUUUUUAAUAAUUUUUUUUUCACAAAAUUUUUUUAAAGUUUUUUUUUAUUUAUUAAUAUUAUUAAUGAAUUUUGUAAGGUUGGAUCGAUCAAAAGUUCCUAAUUUGACCAUCCUUAGAAUUCAACAAUAUUUAGUUAUAAUUUUCUAAAAAUAAUCACUCCUAAUAAUUAAUUGUUAUUUUUGUUAGAAAAAAAUUAAACUCGCGAGUUUGUGUCACCCUAACUCCACCAAAUGAUAUUAUGACUCAUUUAAUCAUAGUUUACUUUCAAUUGUCGAACUCUACAUUAUAUCUAAAAUUAUUUUGAAUUUAGAAAAAUACUUAAUCAUUUUAUUAACUAAUAUUAUGAUACGACAAAAAAAUUAUCAAAACAAACUUAAAUCAACUAUUAUUUUUUAAUUUUAAAAUAUAUAAAAAAAUUAUAUUAUUAAAAAACUUGUAUAACAAUAGUUUAUUAUAUUGUACUUUGUCUGAAAACCUCAACAUUCACCUUUUAAAAUUUCAAAUUAUAGUUAUUUUCUUCUUUCUUCGUUGGAGACGAAUAACUUUAGACCAUUUUUUUUUAUCUAUAAUCAUUUCUUUAAUUAUUUUUUUAUCUAAAUAAAUAGCUUCUACAUAAAUUUAUUUAUUUUUUUUUAUCUUUUUUGUGAUUUCAUCAUUUGGAAACAUUUUUUAGUUUUUUGUCUAAGUGCGAAUCUUUUUAAUUUUUUCGUCUUUGUACGGUAUUUAUUUUGGUUGAGAAAUUUCAAUAAAUAAAUUUAACGUCGUCAUAUUUAUUUUGGUUGAGAUAUAUAUUCCAAACCCCUAAAUUUUGUCAUAUUUAUUGAGAUGUUAUCGCAUUAUGUUAUAUUACUAUUUUACGCUAUAAACUUAAGGUAGGUGAAUUUGUUUGCAAAGUCAUUCUUAUUAUUUUUAACAAAGUUGAAUUUAUGUUGUAUAUAUGUAUUAUACCAUUUGAAUCAAUAAAUAUUGUUUAUUUUAAUAAAAAAAAUAAGAUUGUACUUUGUCUGACUUCUAAGCACAUAAUUUGAGUUCUGCAACCCCUCAUAAAAAAGUAUAAUUUCUCUACUAUGAAAUUGGGUUUGGUCUUCUAUGUUACAUCAUAAGGAAUUGAAGUACUCCUUAUACUCUAAUUAAUAAUUAUUUUACUUAUAGAAAAACAAGUAAUUUUGUUAUCAGUUUUAUUUACGACAUAUUUUGAUAUCAUUUAUUAUAUCUCAAAAUAUAAUUUUUCUUAUAAUUAAUUGAAGUAUGUCGGCAGGUAUUUCGUACCUAAAACAUGUUCAUAAAAGAUUAACUAAAUUUAUUUUUUUUUUUAAAUAUAAUUAAUUAAUUAAUUAUUUAAAUCUGUAUAAUAAUUUUCUCUAAUAUAUUUCUUAUAUUAUAUUAUUGAAAUUUAAAGAUAUACAUGUAUAAUAUACAACAUAUAUAAGGGUGUUCAAAUCCAAACCAAUUUGAAAAAGAACUGCAAAAUAAUCCAAAAAAAUAAAAAAAUGAAACCAAACAUUAUUAGAUGUAUUUGAAUAUUUUUUUAUUGAAUCUGAUUUCGGAUUGAAUUUUUAAAACCAAAGCAAACUGUAUAUAUACAUUUUUUAAUACUUAUUUAUUUUUUAUUAGUAUUAUAUAUUGCAUUACUCUAUUAUUUGUUACUUGUUAGCUUUAAUUUUUAUUAAUAAUUAAUAGUACUUAUUUAUUUAAUUUAACAUUUUUUUACAAUUGCAUGUAUUUCAAAUAUAAUCAAUCAAUAUUAUUUUAUAAUUUUAAUUUUUAAUAUAUUAAAUAUUAUAUUUUAUUUCAAUUUUAACGUAAAUUUAUAAUAAUAAUAAUAUUUAUGAUUGUAAUUUAGAUAACAAAAAUCAAUUCAAUUUAAAAUGCAUUUAUUCAGUUUGGAUCAUUUUUUUUUCUUCAAAUAUCAUCCAAACUAUAUCAAACUACAAUUAUUUUAAUUUUUAAAUCUAAAGAAUUUUUGCCUCGUAACGACUCAAACCGAAUCACAUCAAAGACACUCCUAAAUUACAACAUCCUCAAUAGUUUUUUUUCCGUAUAAAUUAGAUAUCCUACGAAUAGUAUUCUUUAUCAAGAACUUUAACUUUGUCAGAUUUUAGAGUUUAAUUUGAAUUUAACACUUCUAAUUAAACUUAAAUAGAUAUAAAUUAUUUCAUGAAAUGGUCAUGGUAACAUCCUAUCACUAGGUAGUUAUGAUGAAGCAAACAAACAUAUGAGAGAGAAGAAGUGGUAUCUCGUUUGGAAGAACACUUUAUAAUUUUUGGUAUCAAGUGUGUGAUGAAAACUGCAAGGAAGAAUAUACUAAGGCACUAUGAUGUAAGACCAUUUAUUAAUUGUAAUUAUUGAGAAAGGGGGAUGCAACCAGAUCUUGGAAAGUUUAUUUUAGUCAUCCACUUAUUUAGGAAAGUGAAAAUAUUGUACAUCAUUAAAAUGAGAAAAGCUAUUCAAAAAUCAAUUAUUUUAUUUGUAUAGUUAGACACGCGGCGCAUGAAAUCAGAUAUUAACAUAUCAGUUAUCACCUAUGUCUGUAUCAUACACAUUUCUUUACGAUUUAUAAUAACAAAAACUUGUCCAAAAAGUUGUCUUUUAAGACGAUGAUAUGCGAUUCGUUAAUACGCAUCUUUAAAUUUGGAUCUUCGAUUUCUUCAAAAUUAAUGUGUAUAAAUUUUGUUAUUAAAUUUCUUAAAAGAAAAAAAUUAAUUUUAUAAAAGAUAAAAUAUUAACUGAUAUACAAUUAUUUUACAUUGAUAUUCACGUACAACAAAUCAUUGUACAAUUAUUGUUUUAAAUAAUUAUAAAAAUAAUUUAACAUAUUAUAAAUUAAUAAUUAUUAUAUAUUGAUUGUUGAUAUAAAAUUAAUUUUUAUCCAAAAUCUAUUUUAUAAUAAUCACAAUAUAAAUGAUAACGUGAUUAUAAAUUUAAAAGAUGAUCAUAAAUAAAGUAACUCAUACUAAGAUGCUAGUAACAUGGAUUUCAUAUUAGUGAACUCUAUCAAAGACUAGUUAAAAAAUGAUAAGAUAAUUUUACAAAAACCAAAAUAAAGGCUUGAUUUAACUAUAAUUUUAUUAUCUUAAUUUUAUGAAUUUAUGAAAUUGAUCAUUUUAUCUUAUAAGUCAAUAAUUUCAGUUCAUUUUUUAAUUUUUAACUAAAAAAUAAAGACAUGACAUACUUUAAUUAAUGAAUCUAAAUAAUAUUAUAUUAUAAAAUUAUAUAUUAUAUUAUUUAAAAUAUUUUAAAUUAUCAAUUUUUUAAUUUAAAAAUUUAAAAGAGAUUAAAACUAUUAACUUUUAAAAUAAAGAGAUCAGUUUCAUGAAUUGAUAAAAAAAAAUUAUAAUUCUAUAAAUUAAUAAAAUUAAAUAGAUUAAAAUCGUAAUUAAACUUAAAAUUUAUUAAAAAUUUAAUUCUCUCGUUAAACAGCGUUUAAUUGUCAUGUGAACAUCGAAUAAGAGACUAAUGACUUUUCUUUCGUACAUACGUGGAGUUCGAGAGAGUACUUUUUCUUACUGUAGUUUGAAAAUACAUGCUGCUGCUGGUUCUAAUUACUACUAUUAUUUUCUAAAUAUUUUAUAAAUAUAUCUUUCGUAAAAUAAUGUGAAAUAUUAACUGUAUUUACUAAUAUUUUAAAAAAUAUAUACAAAGAUAAAAAAAUUCAUUUACAUAAUAAAUAUAUUUUUAAAAAUUACAAUUUUUUAUAAAUAAAACAAAAUAAUUUUUUUAAAAUUUCUUAUAUUUAUUGCAAUUUUUUAAAAUCACUAGAGAAUGAUCUACACAAGAGAAUGAUCUAUAUUUAUUACAAUUUUAUGUUCAAAGGAAACGUCAAUGUUGAUAAUCUUAAAGUAAAUUUAUUGAAAAUACAUGCAAUAUCUAUUGACUUUGGAGUAGAUAAUGAAUCACGGUAGAGUUGGUCUUUGACAAUUUGGGUGUUUUUGGCCAUUGGAUAAUUCAAUAAAGUGGUGUUCUUGUAAAUAUUGAAUAUCAUUUUAUUUUCAUUUAUUGUAAAAUUAUUAAUAAUUAUUUUAUAAUCAAAGUUUUCUUUAAAAAAAUAUUUAAUUUAUAUUAAUUUAUAAUUGUAACAAAGGCAAUACUAUUUUAGUAUAAUUUAUUUUUAGCUUAUUGCAAUUUUAAUUUCUUUAUUUUUAUCGAUUCAAAAAAUUGGUCCAUCUAUUUUAAAAGUUAUCAAUUUUAAUUCAUUUAUUUGUUUUUUAUUUUUUAACUAAAAAAGCCAACGUGACAUGUUUUAAAUAGUAAAAUAUAUAAUACAGUAAUGUAGAAUAAUUAAUACUGAUGAAUUCAGAAUAAAACACCGUAAAUAUUUAACUAUUACUUUAAGAAAUUUUUCAUAUUUAUAAUUUAAUAAAUGAAAUAUGAAUAAUUAAUACAUCUAGAUAUUUCUAUAUUAAGAAAUUGUAUGUCACGUCAUAUAAAAUAUGUCAAGUCGUCAUUUUUUUUUCAAAAAUUUGAAUGAGAGGCAAAAACCGUAGACUUUUCAAAUAAUAGAAUUAAUUUUGUGAAUUGAUAGAAAUAUAUUAAAAAAUAAUUGCAAUUAAACCUUUAUAUUUUUUAAUUAUAAAUAUGUCUGUUUCGACAACUUUAUAAUUUUUUAUUAAAAAUUUUAUCUUUUAAAAACUAUUCUUAAAUAAACUUCUAAUAACUACAUUGAGUAAUCUUCCUGCUAUUUUAUUUUUUCCAUUUUAAUUUUUUUAUUAGUUUUUUUUGUUAAAUUACAUCUGCGGUCCCUUAACUUAAUUUCAGGUAACGUUUUAGUCCUUUAUAUUUUUUUUCCCGAGUUGGUCCUUUAUUUUAAUUUUAAGUGACAAUUUGAUAUUUUAUGUUUAAAUAUCAACAAUGUUGUCCUUUUUUUUUCUUCAAAAAUUCAAAAAAAUCAUCAAAAUUUUCAAACAAAACCCAUAAAAUUCAUUAUCAUCUUCAAUAAAAUACAAAUUCAAUCAAAUUCAUAACUUAAAUCUUAAAAUAAACUCAUAUUUUAAUUCCUUAUUUGAUGUUGUUGGAGAUAAAAAUAUGAGUGUAUUUGAAUAUUUGAAUUAUGAAUUUGAUAAAAUUUGCAUUAUAUUGAAGAUGAUUAUUAAUUUUAUGGGUUUUGGUUGAAAAUUUUGAAGAUUUUUUUUGAAUUUUUGUAUAAAAAAGGAUAACAUUGUUGAAAUUUUAAAAUAUAAAAUAUCAAAUUGUCAUUUAAAAUUAAAAUAAAGGACCAACUCGAAAAAAAAAAUUAAAACGUUACCUGAAAUUAAGUUAAAGGACCACAAAUGUAAUUUAGGCUGAUUUUUCAUUGCAAUUAAGCAAUUUCAAUGACGGAUUUAUGUUUUAAAAAAAUUCAACAAAUGAUAUAUGGAAAUUCAAUAAUCAUUUAGCUCAAUAAAAAAAAUACACACGAACACAUGAGUGCCAGCCUAUUUUUUUAAUUAUAAAUAUCUCUGUUUCGGAUUAGGUCCAGUUUGGAUCAAUUACCUUUAAAGUUUUUUUUUUUAUUAAAAAUCUUAUCUUUUAAAAAAUAUUCUUAAAAAAACUUCUGAAAACUUCAUCUUUCUACAAUUUAUUUUCCUUUUCAUUGUUUACUUUUUUCUAUUAAUUUUUUCAUUGCAAUUAAGAAUUUCAAAGACAGGUUUAUUUUAAAAAAUCCAAUAAAUGGUAUAUAAAGAAAUUCAAUAAUUGUAAAUACAUUUUAGCGCAAUAAAAAAUGAUAACAAAUGAACACACAAGUGCCUAAGAUUUUAACAAUUUCAAUUUAUGUUUUAUCAAUAUAGAUAUCCAAGAACAAGAAUGAUAUAAAAUUUUAAUAAUUUCCAUUUAUGUUUUAUCUAGCAAGAUAUCUAAGAAAGGGACUAUUAUCCUAAUUAAAAUACAUACUUAAUUUUACAUUUGGUCUGUUAUAUUUAUUUUAGGUUUCACUUUAAUCCCUAUUAGAAUUUCGGUUGAACUCUUAAUGUGGGACUCUUAAGUCUUAACAAUCUAUAUAUUUUAAAAGAUUUAUAAAGGAAGUUUGAUAAAUCAUAUAAUUUACACUUUUUUGAAGUUAAAUUAUAAAAAUUAUAAGUAUGGCUGAUAGGUAGAAGUACAAGUACAAUCUUCCUGAUGCGUGGUCAAGAAAAUCGGCUAAUACGACCUUUGAGCUCUUAUAAAAGGCAAGUUAUUAGAUAGACAUACCAUACUGUUCACAACAUUAUAAUUAUAUACUUUUUUUCAUGUAGAAUUUUCCUUUUCAAAAGAAAAAAUGAAUAUCUCACGUGUCAUAGAAGGUGUGACUUGUCAAAAAUGGUGUAGAGAGCGUGUAUAGGGUCAAAAAGAAUGUAUAAAGAUAUAUAAAUGGAUAUAAAAUUUUGUCACCGAUACGAGAUACAAUACUGGCUUAAUACGGCCUUUAAGUUCUAAUAAAAGGCAAUAUUAUUAGUACUACUUUUUCUUUUUACAUAAAGAGUUCAAGACGUGUCAUUCAUGAUAAAGGUACGUGAUUUAAUGGGUAACUACCACUUUUGUUGUAAGAUUAUCGUUGAUUUAGCUAUAAUUUUUAUAUUAGUCAUUAAAUGAUUAGAAUGAUCUUUGAAAAUAUAACUUACUGUUAUAAAAUCUUUAAAAUAUAAAAUUUAUUGUUAAAAUAGUAUGUAUUUAUUAUCAUGUUAUAAAUUAAAUUGAUUAAUAUUUUAAUAAUUAGAUGACAAAUUUAAAUUUUUGACUCAAUUAAAGACUAAAAUAAUAACGCUUUACAUUUUUAGAAACUAAAAUAAUGAUUUAAUAUUUCAAAACUAGUGGUUCAAAGAGUUGUUGUUAUUAAGAAUAACAUGAUCAAAGUAAUCAUAUAAGAAAAAUAAAUUUUGGAACUUGAUGGAAAAAAAGUAAUAUAAGGUUUCAUAUAUAUGGAAUAAAAAUAAAGAAAUUGAUACAUUGAGUUCUCCAUAUAAAGAGAAAUUAACUACCAAACUAAAAUCUAACAAACUAAUUGAAAAACUCUAACUAACAUUAUAUUUCUUCUAACAUCCUCCACAAAACUCAGAGUAAGAUGUCAUUAAUUUGAGUUUGGAUUAUAUUAUUCAUCCAGACACCCAUGACAAACUAAAGUCUGGUCCGUUUGUCGACUUGUCAUUCCUCACUUCGUCCACAACAAGUUUCGUAACACAAUUAUAAGGUAUUUGAGAACAAUAGACAAAUAAACAGGAGAACCGUAUCCGACACGCUGCACAUAACAAUAGACUUUUCUUGACCUGGAGAUUAAUUAGUUUUAGGUUUUAGUUUUAAGGUUUUGAGGUAAGAUGUGAUAUUCAAUUCACUUGUUUGACUGCUCUUAGUCGAAUGUGGUGAUCCCACAAACUCCUUUAUGAUCCCACAAAUUUCACUGUUGUAUAUUUUCCGGAAAAAUUGAAAUAAAUUUUCCAAUACUUCCGAAAAACUUUAAAAAAGAUUUAUAUGAGGCAUUUAUAUCUUUUCCUUUAGUUUGUAUUGGUACAGGAACAAUUUGGAAGGAAAAUUUUCCCUUGUACCCACUCAUUUAUCCCUAUACUCCCAAAAGUAAAGGAAAAAUACUAAAAUACCCUCAUAUAUAUAUAAAUAUUUUUUUUUAAUUUCUUCAUUUAACAUUUCCGGAACAGAAACAACAAGCAAAAAAAAAAAAUUCCGGAAAACUUCUUUCAAGUUUUCCGGUACACAACUUUUCCGGAAAACUUGAAAAAAGUUUUCCGGUACAGAACAUCAUUUUCGAAAAACUUCAACGUAACAUUUCCGGAAACCACCGAAAAACUUCAUGCACAUGUUUUCCGGUAGUUGUUUGAUUUUUUUUUUAAAUAUUUUUUAAAAUAAUUUUUUUGUUUUAUUUUUUUUAUUAUAUUAGUAUUUAUUUGAUUUUAACUAAGAUCUUGUUAAGGAAGUAGUAUUAAUUAUUAAUUAUGGUGUAUUAAUUAUGAAUUAUUAUGGUAUAUUAAUAGUGUAUUAAUUAUUGAAUGGUGUAUUAAUUAUUAAUUAUUUAUGGUAUAUUUAUGUGUGUUAAUUAAUAUUUAUGAUGCGUUAAUUAUUGACUAAUGUAUUAUCAUUUAUAAAAGUAAUAAAAUUAAAAAAAAAAUUAAAAAAAUGUUGUGUACCGGAAAUCUUUUUGAGAAAGUUUUCUGGAAACACCUUCUGUACCGGAAAUCUUUGGAAUGAAGUUUUCCGGUAGUACAAUUUUUCACUUCUGUAUCGGAAAUCUUUUUUAAAGUUUUCCGGUAACAACUUUCUGUACCGGAAAACUUGAAAAAAGUUUUCUGAAAAUAAGGUGUGUACCGGAAAUCUUUUUUGUAGUUCCGGAAAAGAAUAAAUUAUAAAAAAAAAAAAAAAAAAAUUAAUAAGGGCAUAAUUGUCAUUUUCAAAAAAUUAUGGGGGUAUAGGUAUAAAAAUGGGGGUACAGGGGAAAUUUUUCAUUUGGAAGAUAUAGAGUAAAAUUUUCUUAUUAUAAGCAUUUCAUACAAUACACGGCCCAAUGCAUUUUUGGCGAUGUUCAAACCAUACGGUAUACCAUCCAACAAAAACUAUCCGAACUAAUUAUAAGCAUUUUAUAUAGUACACGGCCCAAUACAUUUUUGGUGAUGUUAAAAACCAUAUAGUACACAACCCACCAAUAUCCAAAGAUUAGGAAGUCUUAAUCAAUAUCCCACCGUUAAAAUUUAGGAUUGAAUAUGUUUUUAGAUUUUAUAGAAUUUUAAAUUUUCAAUUUUAGUAAUUGUAUUUGUAAGUUAAGUUAUAACUCAACUGACAAAUGUCAAAAUUAUUUGGUUAAAUAUUUUGUUUAUGGUUCGAACUUAAGUCGCAUUUGUGUAUGAGUUUUUGGUGCUAUUUACAAUUAUGUCUACUAACCCAAAAAAAUUACAACUUUUAAUCGUAGAAAAUAUCAUGCAUAUAGUUUUAAUCUUUACUGUUAAAUCAACGUAUAUUUUUAAAAGAUUUUUUGCAGAUAUUUUAACAACAUUAUAAAAAGUUUGUAAACAAAAAUUAAGCUCAAAAUUUAAUUUCUAGUCCAUAUUUUUAUUACUUUUAUCUUAAGUUUUUUAUAUUUAAAAAAUUUAUAUUUAAUUUAUCGAAAGUUAAAAAUAAAUCUUAAUUUUUGUAAAUGAACUUUUUAUAAUAUUAUAAAAAUAAUUACGAAAAAUCAUUCGAAAAUUUUGUGAAUGCAUAGAUUUCCUAGUUGUUCUAGUCUAAGUUUUAUCUUUGAUUUCGAUGAUUGUUUCUUAAGUUAGAUUUAGAAUCUAUACAUGUCUUUGUUGAUUUCACUUAUCCACCUUAUGCUUGAGCAAAAAGUAACUCGAGGAAAUUGACAUUUGAAUCAUGCAUAGUUAAAUGCUUCAUUAACACUCUUUUAAAUUUAUUACUUCUCAUUUCAAAUGAUUUUACACAUGUUUUUUGAAUCUGUUUGAAUAGAUUCAAGGAAUGUUUGAAUAUAUUCAAACCGUAAGUCUUAACAGAUUUAGUGUUUCCUUGAUUUGAAUCAAGCAUUAGUUAGGGAAACUCCUUGAAUCGAUUCAAUGUUUCAUUGAUUUGGAUCAAGUUUGUCCAUGAUUUCUUGAAUCCAUUCAAAGAUUAUUUGAUCUAUAUCACAUUAAAAAAAAAGUUUUGUUUUUUGUUCUUUUUUUUUCAAUGUUAGUUUCUUACACCCAUAAAUAAUCAUCUUGGAACUUUUAAUAAUUUAACAUUCUGAAAUUCAUCUCAAUAUUUUCAACCUCUCAAGUUAAAAAAAUUUAUUGAAAGGGGUUUUUUAGAGGGAUUUGAAUCUUCAUCAUUGAAAGAGAGCUUUCUUGUUGAAGAUUGCAAAAUGUUGAUUUUGGAGUUGUCAAAAUCAAGUGCUAGAAGUGGGAUUCAUAGAAGAAACUCUCAUAAAAGAAUCUUGUAUUAUUGCACAACUAUGUUAAUGGAAGAAACUCUCAUCAAAAUUUGGUUUUAUAUCUUAACUCUAUCCUUCUUUAAUUUUCUGCAUUGAAAUGACAAUUUGUGUACAGAUAAAUUCUGAUUUUUGUGUUCUUGAGAAAUUAUGAAGUGUUUAAAACAAAAUUUUAUUUUCUUAAUCAAUUCAUAUUGAAGAUAUUAAUACAAUUGUUUCAAGUUUUUUUUUUUUGUUAAUGUGCUAUGCUGAAUUUUUCUGUAAUCAUUCAUUUGUAGAGUUGAUUGAUUCUAUAUUUAUACAAUUACUAAGUUAACUGAAUUUCCUUUCAAUUAAAUUUUCAAUUUAUUUAUUCACAACCUUUAUCUAAAUUGGUGUUUAGCAAUUCGAAGAAAUAUUUUUUUGUAAAGUAUCAAGCAUGUGUAAUCGAUUCAAUAUUUUUAAAAAUUAUGUUUUUUUUUCUUUUUUUUUGAAAUCCUAUUCUCGCCUCUAGAAUUUUGGUGCCUUUACAACUAACAAUUUUAAAUUUGAAAAAUAAUUAAAUAUGUUUCUUUUCACAACUAACAAUUUUUAAAUUUAAAAAAUAAUUAAAUAUGUUUCUUUUCGACAGAUAAUAAAAUAGUUUAUUGAUAAUUUUAAAAGAACUGAAAGUUGUAUUUUUUUUUACAGUGACUAUAAUUGAAAAGUUAGAAUUUUAUAGAGACUAAAACGAUGCAUCAUAACUCUACAAUUUAUUGGGUUAGCAACUUAUUUCCAAUAAAUUUUAAAUGUUAAUUAGAUAAUUAACCUAACUUAGUCACGAUUCAAAGAUGAAUGAUUCAUUUUCGUAUAAAUCUAUCAGUCGUCGAACUUUUUGAGCUGAUCUAUUUUGCCUGCCAUUUUAGGCGGUUUGAGUUAAAGAUUUUAAUUCAUCUAUCUAAAUUGGUCAAUUUCGUUUAUAUAGUUACACGUUUAACUGUAUAAAUAAACUAAGAACCUAAUAAAAAAUGGUAGGUCAUUCAUUACUAAGUAAUUAAAAACACUUUAGUAUUUUAAGUUGAUGUACAUAAUAUUAAUUAAAGUAUAGGGUAAAAUAAUAAUAAUAAUAAUAAUAAUAAUAAUAAUAAUAAUAAUAAUAAUAAUAAUAAUAAAUAUUACAUUUAAAUUAAAAAAUAUAAUUCAUUUUAGAAUGUUUUUGUUAUAAAAAAUACGACAAUUAUUGUGGCGGAAAGAGUAACUUAUUCCAUAUAUAUAUAUAAAGCAACUAAUGAUAGGAAAUUAAAUCAGAUUUCACAGGUCCAGCUAUUAAAUGACAUUUGAAUUUAAGAUAUCAAUUAAUUCUAAUAACAAACUAAAACGUUCAUAUAGGCUUGUAAUAGUAGUAUUAAUUUGACUAUUAGGUAUAAAAUGUGGUUGGUGACUAUAAGCUAGGGUCAUGCAAUGGCAUAUGCUCAACAACUCAUUAGCAUCAACCUCCUUAUAAAAAUGAGAACCCACAUAAUUAAUUUUGUGUAGAAAAGAGAGAGAGAGAGAAUAAGAUAAUAUCAAAUUAAUGGGUAAGUGGUUGUGCAUCUUGGUGGUUUUGGCUAUGGUCGUGGUUGCAACAAGUGCAAGGAAUGUGCCCAUUGGAGGCACUAAUUUGAAGGAACAAAAAUGCAUUGGCAGGUUUGGUACUGGUGUAGGUGCUGAUCUUGGUAUGCCCCUAAUUGGUGGCCUUGGUGGUUUCGGUGGAACUGCUUUUACCGGCCGUCGUAUUCCUCAACCUUGAAUUAUGGCUUUAACUUAUUUUCAUUCUCGUCUUGAAUAUAAAAAAAUAUUUAAUCAAUAAAAAUUAAUAUAUUUAGUAUAAAAUUUAUACUAAAUAUAUUUAUUUUUAUUGAUUUACUUUUUCUUAUAUUUGAGAUUGAAUAAAUUAUAUAUAAUAUCAUAUAUGGCAUCUUAUUAUUAUUAUAAGAGAAUAAAAUGAUUAGUAUGAUGUCAUGAUUAAUGUUUUAGUGUUUUAUGAUUUUUUGCCAAGAAAAAAGAUCAGUACGUACUAGCUUGUUUUUGUAAUGUAUGGAUGUGUUGUUCCUUUUUAUGUAAGGGAAGAUAUAUUAUGCAUGAUUUCACCUUCUUAUGAUAUGAAAAAAUAACUUUAUUUUUUCCUAGAUUCACCAUGAACCCAUCAAUGAUUGUCACCCUUCUCUAUGGAACACAGUUCAAGGUCAAAACCUUCACAACCACCUAGGACAAGGACACAUCACACAUUAACUAUAAAACUGGAAAUAUAUCCAAUUCCAUGAGGACUUU
This 15179-nucleotide long non-coding RNA is filed under the name Cicer arietinum (chickpea). Its description in RNAcentral is "long non-coding RNA (CARI_LNC000919)". Lineage: Eukaryota; Viridiplantae; Streptophyta; Magnoliopsida; Fabales; Fabaceae. The record is from RNAcentral.